ACUCCUACGGGAGGCAGCAGUAGGGAAUCUUCCACAAUGGGCGCAAGCCUGAUGGAGCAACACCGCGUGAGUGAAGAAGGGUUUCGGCUCGUAAAGCCCUGUUGUUAAAGAAGAACACGUAUGAGAGUAACUGUUCAUACGUUGACGGUAUUUAACCAGAAAGUCACGGCUAACUACGUGCCAGCAGCCGCGGUAAUACGUAGGUGGCAAGCGUUAUCCGGAUUUAUUGGGGCGUAAAGAGAGUGCAGGCGGUUUUCUAAGUCUGAUGUGAAAGCCUUCGGCUUAACCGGAGAAGUGCAUCGGAAACUGGAUAACUUGAGUGCAGAAGAGGGUAGUGGAACUCCAUGUGUAGCGGUGGAAUGCGUAGAUAUAUGGAAGAACACCAGUGGCGAAGGCGGCUACCUGGUCUGCAACUGACGCUGAGACUCGAAAGCAUGGGUAGCGAACAGGAUUAGAUACCCUGGUAGGAUAGCG
This 474-nucleotide ribosomal RNA is filed under the name uncultured bacterium. Its description in RNAcentral is "bacterial SSU rRNA". It matches the Rfam family "Bacterial small subunit ribosomal RNA", at positions 335 to 801 of the family's 1533-position model. The record is from RNAcentral.